This 335-nucleotide ribosomal RNA is filed under the name uncultured Pseudomonadota bacterium. RNAcentral describes it as "bacterial SSU rRNA". It matches the Rfam family "Bacterial small subunit ribosomal RNA", at positions 29 to 351 of the family's 1533-position model. Lineage: Bacteria; Pseudomonadati; Pseudomonadota. The record is from RNAcentral.
AGCGAACGUUAGCGGCGGGCUUAACACAUGCAAGUCGAGCGAGAAAGGGACUUCGGUCCUGAGUAAAGCGGCGGACGGGUGAGUAACACGUAGGUAAUCUUCCUUCGAGCGGGGGACAACGGUCCGAAAGGACCGCUAAUACCGCAUACGUUUCCGAGGGCCCCGGCCUUUGGAAGGAAAGCUAGGUCGCAAGAUCCGGCACUCGAUGAGGAGCCUGCGUAGCAUCAGCUAGUUGGUGGGGUAAUGGCCUACCAAGGCGAAGACGCUUAGCUGGUCUGAGAGGAUGAUCAGCCACACUGGGACUGAGACACGGCCCAGACUCCUACGGGAGGCAG